AGUGAACGCUGGCGGUAGGCCUAACACAUGCAAGUCGAACGGCAGCACAGUAAGAGCUUGCUCUUACGGGUGGCGAGUGGCGGACGGGUGAGGAAUACAUCGGAAUCUACUUUUUCGUGGGGGAUAACGUAGGGAAACUUACGCUAAUACCGCAUACGACCUACGGGUGAAAGCAGGGGAUCUUCGGACCUUGCGCGAUUGAAUGAGCCGAUGUCGGAUUAGCUAGUUGGCGGGGUAAAGGCCCACCAAGGCGACGAUCCGUAGCUGGUCUGAGAGGAUGAUCAGCCAAACUGGAACUGAGACACGGUCCAAACUCCUACGGGAGGCAGCAGUGGGGAAUAUUGGACAAUGGGCGCAAGCCUGAUCCAGCCAUCCCGCGUGGGUGAAGAAGGCCUUGGGGUUGUAAAGCCCUUUUGUUGGGAAAGAAAAGCAGCAGGUUAAUACCCCGCUGUUCUGACGGUCCCCAAAAAAUAAGCACCGGCUAACUUCGU
This 491-nucleotide ribosomal RNA is filed under the name uncultured bacterium. RNAcentral describes it as "partial 16S ribosomal RNA". It matches the Rfam family "Bacterial small subunit ribosomal RNA", at positions 29 to 506 of the family's 1533-position model. The record is from RNAcentral.